AACGCACAUUGCGCCCUCUGGUAUUCCGGGGGGCAUGCCUGUUCGAGCAUCAGUACAACGACAAGCUCUGCUUGGUGUUGGCGGUCGCCCUCCCGGGGGCGCCACCUAAAAUCAGCGGCGUAGCUGCCUGGCUCCUAAGCGUAGUAACACUAUUCUCGCUUCGGGUCCCAGGCGGAUUACCGCCGGACAACCCACUAUUUUACAACGUUGAUCUCGGAUCAGGUAGGGAUACCCGCUGAACUUAA
RNAcentral lists this unclassified non-coding RNA (245 nucleotides) under Pterula sp. RNAcentral describes it as "partial contains 5.8S ribosomal RNA, internal transcribed spacer 2, and large subunit ribosomal RNA". Lineage: Eukaryota; Fungi; Basidiomycota; Agaricomycetes; Agaricales; Pterulaceae. The record is from RNAcentral.